This 586-nucleotide ribosomal RNA is filed under the name uncultured bacterium. RNAcentral's name for it is "bacterial SSU rRNA". It matches the Rfam family "Bacterial small subunit ribosomal RNA", at positions 338 to 916 of the family's 1533-position model. The record is from RNAcentral.
CCUACGGGAGGCAGCAGUGGGGAAUCUUGCGCAAUGGGCGAAAGCCUGACGCAGCGACGCCGCGUGAGGGAAGAAGGCCUUCGGGUUGUAAACCUCUUUCAGGAGGGACGAAGCUACUCGGGUGAACAGCCCAGAGGGUGACGGUACCUCCAGAAGAAGCCCCAGCUAACUACGUGCCAGCAGCCGCGGUAAUACGUAGGGGGCAAGCGUUGUCCGGAUUUACUGGGCGUAAAGCGCGUGUAGGCGGCUAUGCAGGUCCGUUGUGAAAACUGAAGGCUUAACCUUCAGACGUCGACGGAAACCGCGUGGCUAGAGUCCGGAAGAGGAGAGUGGAAUUCCUGGUGUAGCGGUGAAAUGCGCAGAUAUCAGGAAGAACACCAAUGGCGAAGGCAGCUCUCUGGGACGGUACUGACGCUGAGACGCGAAAGCGUGGGGAGCGAACAGGAUUAGAUACCCUGGUAGUCCACGCCGUAAACGAUGGGUGCUAGGUGUGGGAGGUGUCGACUCCUUCCGUGCCGCAGCUAACGCAUUAAGCACCCCGCCUGGGGAGUACGGCCGCAAGGCUAAAACAUAAAGGAAUUGACGG